UUAGAAUUACAGCUGAGGGAAGACUUACUGCUCCGCUGUCCAGCUUAACAAGAUGGAUUUGCCUGCUUUUUAAGCUAUUGCUUCAAACCGAAUCAAACCAUAAAAUGUGGAUUUUUGCAAAUAGGAUAAUGGCUGUGUAUGUAGUAGUUUUCCGUCUAAUCCUCUGGAAACAUUUCGACCUGACAAAGAUCCAAGUACCAUCGAAAUGUUGUCUUGAUUCCACUUUUGUGGCAUGGGUAAAAACCUCCAGAGAAGCAUCCAAGGUGGGACCCCUUCUCCAGGAUGAUGGACAGACAAUUACUGUUGGAAGUGGUACCACGCCAUUGUGUCGCAAGUCACAAAAUGCACUGUGACCUCUGAAGUGUGAGGCUGCCAAAGUGGGAAAUUCAAAUCCACAAGCAGUGACCUGCUGGUGCUAACCUGCUGCACAGCGCUUUGCACCACUGCUUUGAAUGUGUCAGUGAGAAUACUGGACCUAAAUCUGAGUCGACAUAUUCAAUAUGAACAGAUUUUCAACCAGAUUUUCAAUGUCACGUCGAAUUUUAUUUUAUGCAUCCUUCAUUUCCUGAAUAAGUAAAUGCAGGGAGCAUCUAUGCACUUGAACUUGAAAAUUGAAAAAUUAGAAAAUGUGUCUGCUUCUGCUGCGGCAAGAUUUCCACAAUAAAUAGUACAUUUCUGGCCUCGUGGGUCAUGUAAAAAUAAUGUCCGGUGAUC
Molecule: long non-coding RNA, 714 nt
Organism: Epinephelus fuscoguttatus (brown-marbled grouper)
Lineage: Eukaryota; Metazoa; Chordata; Actinopteri; Perciformes; Serranidae
Exons: 3
Source: RefSeq, a predicted model, not a curated record